Molecule: long non-coding RNA, 1275 nt
Organism: Homo sapiens (human)
Lineage: Eukaryota; Metazoa; Chordata; Mammalia; Primates; Hominidae
Product: long intergenic non-protein coding RNA 293
Source: Ensembl
GCACAGAACAGACAUUGUGACAUAUAUCUAGGCAAAUUGCCUAGAAGUGAAUCCCCUCUCCUGCUUAAGUCCUUCCCACAGAGAGCGGUUUGAUAUGUCACUGAAACCAGCAUCCAGGUGGUAUUGCUCCAUAUGCCUGAGACCCUAACAAAAGCCUAAUUACAACUCAUAUGCCUGGAGCCAGGACAUGUGCAGGAUGGUGAUGUAACUUUCCUCUCUGGAAUGGGUCCUGCACAAAGGAAUGAUAGUAACAUAUUGCAAAGCCAGACACACAGCCAUGAUGGUCCAAGUUAUAUUGGGAUUCAGCCAAUAGAAGAUAUUUUGCCUGUCAUCCCUAAGCUUAGGACAAUAGGGUCCUGCCCACAAGAAAGAUUGUGACAUCUCACUGGACAAGCACCCACCCAGACUCUGCCAAGAGAGGGGAUUAUUACAUAUUGCAGAGCCCAGCACCUAGGUGGAGUGACUCUCAUCUUUUUCUUCUACCCCGUAUAUAGCCAGCUUGGUGACCUACUAUUUGAGUCUAUACCCAGGUGAUAUAACCCUCUUCUCUGGAAUGGGCCCCACACAAAGGAAGGAUAGUGACAUAUUGCAAGCCCAGGCACACAGGCCCAGAGCACAGUUGAAAUUGUGACAUAUGUACACCAAGCAACCAAGCAAUGUAUAACACCUCAUUUGGCAAUGGAAUCGAGGGCACUUUUACAUAUCACUGAGACCAGCGCCCAGCUGAUGUGAAAUAUUGGCCUGAACCCUGCCUACAAAAGCAUUGUGGCUUUUAUCUAGCUCCAUUACAUAAGUGAUGUGACUUCCUUCUACUGCCUUGGCCCUGCACUUAUGGUGAAUCGUGACACAAAAUUGGGUAGAGCAACCAGCCUGGGCCCUGACCAGCACAGAGAUUGAGGCAUAUUGCUGAACCCAGGACCAAGAUGAAGUCACUCUCCUGCCUUGAUCCUGCACACAGGGACCCUUGUGACAUAUAUACAGGCCAAUUGCCUAGGUGAUGUUGUGCAAUAUACCUGAGACCAGAUCAAUGGCCUAAUAAUGACUCUUUUACCUAGAGCCAGGACAUGUGCAGGAUGGUAACUCUCAUCCCUGAACCUUUCCACAGGUGUUAUUGUCACAUAUACCUUUUCCAGCUCCAAAGUGAUUUAAUAAUCCAGCCUAGUUAUAGCCCACAGAUAAUAUUUGGACAUAUACCUGAGUCAAGAACCUUGGUGAUUUGACUCUCAUGUCUUAACAGUGUCCUCAGAAGGGAUCAUAACAUAUCUCUGGACCCAU